RNAcentral lists this ribosomal RNA (254 nucleotides) under uncultured bacterium. Its description in RNAcentral is "partial 16S ribosomal RNA". It matches the Rfam family "Bacterial small subunit ribosomal RNA", at positions 524 to 776 of the family's 1533-position model. The record is from RNAcentral.
CACGUAGGGUGCGAGCGUUGUCCGGAAUUAUUGGGCGUAAAGAGCUCGUAGGCGGUGUGUCGCGUCGGCCGUGAAAACCUGCAGCUUAACUGUGGGCGUGCGGUCGAUACGGGCAUCACUGGAGUUCGGCAGGGGAGACUGGAAUUCCUGGUGUAGCGGUGAAAUGCGCAGAUAUCAGGAGGAACACCGGUGGCGAAGGCGGGUCGCUGGACCGGUUCUGACGCUGAUGCGCGAAAGCGUGGGGAGCAAACGGG